AUCCUCUCAGGGUCACACCUGGAGAGUUUCCAGUACUCUACCAGUCUUGACUACAGGAGGAAGAGUCAAGCAGAGGCCUACAGAUUCCAUUCCUAGCUUGGGCAGUAGCUAGUGAGUGGAAGGCCAUCUGCUACAAGU
Molecule: small nucleolar RNA, 138 nt
Filed under: Ornithorhynchus anatinus (platypus)
Lineage: Eukaryota; Metazoa; Chordata; Mammalia; Monotremata; Ornithorhynchidae
Source: RNAcentral